CAGCCGCCGCGGUAAUACGAAGGGGGCUAGCGCUGUUCGGAUUUACUGGGCGUAAAGGGCGCGUAGGCGGACUGAUAAGUCAGGGGUGAAAUCCCAAGGCUCAACCUUGGAACUGCCUUUGAUACUGUUUGUCUUGAGUUCGAGAGAGGUAAGUGGAACUGCGAGUGUAGAGGUGAAAUUCGUAGAUAUUCGCAAGAACACCAGUGGCGAAGGCGGCUUACUGGCUCGAAACUGACGCUGAGGCGCGAAAGCGUGGGGAGCAAACAGGAUUAGAUACCCCUGUAGUCCCUGUCUCUUAUAU
RNAcentral lists this ribosomal RNA (301 nucleotides) under uncultured bacterium. RNAcentral describes it as "partial 16S ribosomal RNA". It matches the Rfam family "Bacterial small subunit ribosomal RNA", at positions 509 to 809 of the family's 1533-position model. The record is from RNAcentral.